This 950-nucleotide long non-coding RNA is filed under the name Gallus gallus (chicken). RNAcentral's name for it is "long non-coding RNA NONGGAT002141". Lineage: Eukaryota; Metazoa; Chordata; Aves; Galliformes; Phasianidae. The record is from RNAcentral.
GCGCUUUCCUUCUACCCCUUGAUCUUUAUUGUUUCAGUAGAUCCCUUUUCAUUCUGUUGUAUGGUGUAUAUUUUUUAGGUUUAGAAGCUGUACUUAAUUCUUAUUUCAGAAGAUGGCUCUUCUCAGAAUGAAAAGCAGAUUGCUAUGAAGGCAAUGAUUUGAUCCUUGUGGUUUGCUGUGAGCCUCGUAGCCUCUAGUGUAAACCUAUUGGAUCUUGUUUAACAGAGAAGCAUAGAAAGUACCACCCAUGCAAAUGCUGCUCAGAAACAUCUACCAGGGAGAAAAAAGCUUCUAAUGAAGACGAUGUGGUCUCUUGGCACAAGAAUUUAUGAAACAACCCAUAAAGACCCACGGUACAGCAAUCUAAGGAGCAAACUCAAGAUGUUUGAUUGAGCAAUGCGUGUGCAUUUAUUCACACCUGGAAAGAACAGCUUUCUGUGUCAUUACAUGCAGUGUGAGAAUUUCAUGUAUUGAUCUCUGUAUAUACAUCACCUGAGGUUCCUUUAUUCUCUUGGUAAAACUUGCCAGGUGUGAUGCUGUUUGGAGGUCCUUUCUGUACCAGAUGAGGCACUGAGUGUUGAAGCAAGCAUCCCUCCUGGCCUUGUUUCGGACCUUGUCUAGAGAUACAGUACUGCUGCCUAAAGCUGUUAAGCUUAACCAAAGCCAUGGAUGUGACUGUUAUUUGGCAGAUAAAAGGAGUGAAAGGAAGGAGAGAAGAUAGCAGUGUGGUGUCUUUUUACUUUCUUUACAGUCUGCUUAAAUUUCUCAUCUGCUGUAAACCUCAGACUGAAAUUCUGCAGCGUGGGGAUGCACCGAAGUAGUGCUGGAUAAUAACUUAAUAAAAUAGAAGUAACGAAAGGGGAAUAAAAUAGCUCCCAAACAGUUAAGAGUGGGAUUCUGGUUUGUGUUGGAUCCUUGUCCUGAAAGCUUGGAGUGCUCAGAUCCACCUG